UACGAGGGGAGCUAGCGUUAUUCGGAAUUACUGGGCGUAAAGCGCACGUAGGCGGCUUUGUAAGUUAGAGGUGAAAGCCCAGAGCUCAACUCUGGAAUAGCCUUUAAGACUGCAUCGCUUGAAUCCAGGAGAGGUGAGUGGAAUUCCGAGUGUAGAGGUGAAAUUCGUAGAUAUUCGGAAGAACACCAGUGGCGAAGGCGGCUCACUGGACUGGUAUUGACGCUGAGGUGCGAAAGCGUGGGGAGCAAACAGG
RNAcentral lists this ribosomal RNA (253 nucleotides) under uncultured bacterium. Its description in RNAcentral is "partial 16S ribosomal RNA". It matches the Rfam family "Bacterial small subunit ribosomal RNA", at positions 524 to 776 of the family's 1533-position model. The record is from RNAcentral.